CGGUGGAGCAUGUGGUUUAAUUCGAUGAUACGCGAGGAACCGUUACCUGGGCGUCGAACGUAAGAUGACUGUAGGUGAAAGCUUACAUCUCUUCGGAGCAUUUUACGAGGUGCUGCAUGGUUGUCGUCAGCUCGUGCCGUGAGGUGUCGGGUUAAGUCCCAUAACGAGCGCAACCCCUACCCUUAGUUGCCAUCAGGUUAAGCUGGGGACUCUAAAGGAACUGCCUACGCAAGUAGUGAGGAAGCGGGGAUGACGUCAAAUCAGCACGGCCCUUACGUCCAGGGCUACACACGUGCUACAAUGGCCGAUACAGAGGGCAGCUACCUGGUGACAGGAUGCAAAUCUCCAAAGUCGGUCUCAGUUCGGAUCGGAGUCUGCAACCCGACUCCGUGAAGUUGGAUUCGCUAGUAAUCGCGCAUCAGCCAUGGCGCGGUGAAUACGUUCCCGGGCCUU
This 453-nucleotide ribosomal RNA is filed under the name uncultured Sphingobacteriales bacterium. Its description in RNAcentral is "bacterial SSU rRNA". It matches the Rfam family "Bacterial small subunit ribosomal RNA", at positions 930 to 1382 of the family's 1533-position model. Lineage: Bacteria; Pseudomonadati; Bacteroidota; Sphingobacteriia; Sphingobacteriales. The record is from RNAcentral.